GAUGAACGCUGGCGGCGUGCUUAACACAUGCAAGUCGAACGGGAAUUAUUUUAUUGAAACUUCGGUCGAUUUAAUUUAAUUCUAGUGGCGGACGGGUGAGUAACGCGUGGGUAACCUGCCUUAUACAGGGGGAUAACAGUCAGAAAUGACUGCUAAUACCGCAUAAGCGCACAGAGCUGCAUGGCUCAGUGUGAAAAACUCCGGUGGUAUAAGAUGGACCCGCGUUGGAUUAGCUUGUUGGUGAGGUAACGGCCCACCAAGGCGACGAUCCAUAGCCGGCCUGAGAGGGUGAACGGCCACAUUGGGACUGAGACACGGCCCAGACUCCUACGGGAGGCAGCAGUGGGGAAUAUUGCACAAUGGGGGAAACCCUGAUGCAGCGACGCCGCGUGAAGGAAGAAGUAUCUCGGUAUGUAAACUUCUAUCAGCAGGGAAGAUAGUGACG
RNAcentral lists this ribosomal RNA (445 nucleotides) under uncultured bacterium. RNAcentral describes it as "bacterial SSU rRNA". It matches the Rfam family "Bacterial small subunit ribosomal RNA", at positions 28 to 456 of the family's 1533-position model. The record is from RNAcentral.